RNAcentral lists this ribosomal RNA (468 nucleotides) under uncultured bacterium. RNAcentral describes it as "partial 16S ribosomal RNA". It matches the Rfam family "Bacterial small subunit ribosomal RNA", at positions 28 to 507 of the family's 1533-position model. The record is from RNAcentral.
GACGAACGCUGGCGGCGUGCUUAACACAUGCAAGUCGAACGGAAAGGCCCUGCUUUUGUGGGGUGCUCGAGUGGCGAACGGGUGAGUAACACGUGAGUAACCUGCCCUUGACUUUGGGAUAACUUCAGGAAACUGGGGCUAAUACCGGAUAGGAGCUCCUGCUGCAUGGUGGGGGUUGGAAAGUUUCGGCGGUUGGGGAUGGACUCGCGGCUUAUCAGCUUGUUGGUGGGGUAGUGGCUGACCAAGGCUUUGACGGGUAGCCGGCCUGAGAGGGUGACAGGCCACAUUGGGACUGAGAUACGGCCCAGACUCCUACGGGAGGCAGCAGUGGGGAAUAUUGCACAAUGGGCGGAAGCCUGAUGCAGCAACGCCGCGUGCGGGAUGACGGCCUUCGGGUUGUAAACCGCUUUCGCCUGUGACGAAGCGUGAGUGACGGUAAUGGGUAAAGAAGCACCGGCUAACUACGUG